Molecule: ribosomal RNA, 800 nt
Filed under: uncultured bacterium
Lineage: Bacteria
Description: bacterial SSU rRNA
Rfam family: Bacterial small subunit ribosomal RNA
Source: RNAcentral
UUGCUUCUCUUGAGAGCGGCGGACGGGUGAGUAAUGCCUAGGAAUCUGCCUAGUGGUGGGGGAUAACGUUCGGAAACGGACGCUAAUACCGCAUACGUCCUACGGGAGAAAGCGGGGGAUCUUCGGACCUCGCGCCAUUAGAUGAGCCUAGGUCGGAUUAGCUAGUUGGUGAGGUAAUGGCUCACCAAGGCGACGAUCCGUAACUGGUCUGAGAGGAUGAUCAGUCACACUGGAACUGAGACACGGUCCAGACUCCUACGGGAGGCAGCAGUGGGGAAUAUUGGACAAUGGGCGAAAGCCUGAUCCAGCCAUGCCGCGUGUGUGAAGAAGGUCUUCGGAUUGUAAAGCACUUUAAGUUGGGAGGAAGGGUAGUAACUUAAUACGUUGCUACUUUGACGUUACCGACAGAAUAAGCACCGGCUAACUUCGUGCCAGCAGCCGCGGUAGUACGAAGGGUGCAAGCGUUAAUCGGAAUUACUGGGCGUAAAGCGCGCGUAGGUGGUUCAGUAAGUUGGAAGUGAAAUCCCCGGGCUCAACCUGGGAACUGCUUUCAAAACUGCUGAGCUAGAGUACGGUAGAGGGUGGUGGAAUUUCCUGUGUAGCGGUGAAAUGCGUAGAUAUAGGAAGGAACACCAGUGGCGAAGGCGACCACCUGGACUGAUACUGACACUGAGGUGCGAAAGCGUGGGGAGCAAACAGGAUUAGAUACCCUGGUAGUCCACGCCGUAAACGAUGUCAACUAGCCGUUGGAAUCCUUGAGAUUUUAGUGGCGCAGCUAACGCAUUAAGUUGACCGCCUGG